GAUGAAGAACGUAGCGAAAUGCGAUACGUAAUGUGAAUUGCAAAUUCAGUGAAUCAUCGAGUCUUUGAACGCACAUUGCGCCCCCUGGUAUUCCGGGGGGCAUGCCUGUCCGAGCGUCAUUGCUGCCCUCAAGCACGGCUUGUGUGUUGGGCCCCGUCCUCCGAUCCCGGGGGACGGGCCCGAAAGGCAGCGGCGGCACCGCGUCCGGUCCUCGAGCGUAUGGGGCUUUGUCACCCGCUCUGUAGGCCCGGCCGGCGCCUGCCGAUCAACCCAAAUUUUUUAUCCAGGUUGACCUCGGAUCAGGUAGGGAUACCCGCUGAACUUAAGCAUAUCAAUAAGCGGAGGA
Molecule: unclassified non-coding RNA, 346 nt
Filed under: soil metagenome
Description: partial contains 5.8S ribosomal RNA, internal transcribed spacer 2, and large subunit ribosomal RNA
Rfam family: 5.8S ribosomal RNA (bases 1-119)
Source: RNAcentral